AGAAUGUAGAUACCUAGUGUAUAGUAUAAACAGGGAUAGAUAACUGCUGAAAAGGUGGUUCAGUAGGUAGAAUGGAUGAAUAGUCAGGAAAAGUAAUUAUCAUCUGUAAUAUAGGAGUUAGUAUCUCGAGGUAGUAUAAGGAGGAUGGGAGAGGGGAAGAAAAUACCAAACUGUGAGAGUCAUAAGCCGAGGGCCAGACUGUGAGAGUUGUGAGCCAGGGUAAGCUUGGUGCUACCUCUUUUCUUUUGUUUGUUAUUUUCUUUGAAUAAGAGGAUUGAAAGUUUUUGGAUAUUGUGAAGUGAAUUAUGGAAAUGUGAUUAGUAUUAUUUGAGAAGAAGAAAGAUUGAAUGCUGAAAUCUGAUUGUAGUUCAGCAUAGAGAAUGAGUCUAUGUUUGUGUGAAACAUUGUAAUGUGAAUGGCAGUUCUAUGUGAAGAAUUCCAGAGAUUGGAACAAGGGUAAUUAUGUACUGAAAGCUGUGAAGGCACAAUAUUACAGUUGGAGAUUAUGAGGGUGAAUAUAUUGGUGGAAAUAGCAGUUAUUAGUAUGACUGAAUUGCUGUAAGGAAGAGAUCGAUAAAGUGAAGGAAGAGAUUAUAGUUUCCUUCUGUGUUCAGAUAUUAGAAAUAGAGACGAUACAUUCAGGAGGUAAUUGAUUGUGUGACCCUAACGUGAAUGCUUAAGCAACUAGUCAUUCGUCGUGUUUGAAUCUCCCUAUACGGGUUUAUUCUGGGAGGUUUCUUUUGGAAUAAGUAAAACGAGCAAUCACAUUUUGGCGUUGCUGCCGAUGAGUAAUAAUAGCUUUGAGAGUUAGAAAUUAAUUACCGAACGUGUGAAAAAAUUGGCAAUGGAAGACGAUUUCAGUAGUAUUUGAAGAAAGAGUAUGGUUAUUAAGAAUGAGAAUUUAACAGCAAAGAGAAUAAAGUAAUCAAAGGAAAGAACAGAGCGAUCGCAAGCAAGAAAUUUGUUGUGUAAUGAGCGAGAUCACAAAUUAAAAAAGAAGCAUCAACAAAAUUAGAUUAAGCCAUGGUUGCAUGUCUGUCGGCAUAUUCGAUCGUACCCAGAAGACGAUCGACCUCUAAUAUUUCAGAAGUACAUACCGUUAAAGAAAUUGCCAAGAGCACUCAUAGAGAGCGCUGCUAAUAGUCCAGCAAACCUCUCGAAGCCGUUAACGGAAAACGAAGAAGGCACAGAGGAAUUAGGUAUCCCACUAGGUAUCUUUUCAAUUCAAAAUACGUCCGAUCUUAACAAGACUGGUUCUGAAGAUUGACAUAAAUUACUUGCCAAUAAAGACCAAUUCAGAGUAUAUCAAAACCUGUCGUUUUCACCUCAUAUUCAACUAGUAAAAUUAUUUGGAGAUAAUAAUAGUCAAUCGGGAAGGCCUGAAAGUCUGAAAAAGACUUUUGCAGGAGAUAAUUUUUAUUUUAAUAAGAAAUUGAGCAGAACACCGGCAUCUUUAAUGAUGUCUAGAGGACUAGCAGUUCCGAUUGCAGUUCAAAUGGGUACAGUGGACGAUCAAACGACUAGCAUCAUGUCAUUACCUACUUUUCGGGGUUUGCUAGGUGUGGAUCCAGAUCAACAUUUGUCUCAAUUCUUGAUGGCGUGUGUAGCCAAUAAUGGAAGAACAGAAGACAUUUGGCUGAGAUGGCUGCCAGCAACAUUGAAAGACAUAGCUUUUGAGUGGUAUAACUAUCAACCUGUGGAACAAUUUAUCAAUUGGGAGGUAUUGAAAAAUAUAUUUUUAGUCCAUUUUCGACCAAUUGGUUUUGAAGAACGUCUUAGAAAAAAACUAAUGAACAGCAGAAUGGUACCAGGAGAAGUGGUACAGUCAUAUUAUGGUCGUGUAGCGGAUAUACUUCAAAAAUGGCCAAAUAACCAAAUGCCAGAAUCAUUUGUAUUGUCCAUAUUGGUUAAUGGACUAUACCCACCAGAAUUAAAAAUGUUUGUAAAGGAGGUCCAAUCAGCUACCAUUGCAUCAUCUCUUGAGCGAGCAAAAGUAUGGAAGGAAUGUUUCUAUGACCAGAACUUAACAGUUGGAGCCACAAUGAUUCCAUCUCAAGGAGGUUAUCAAAUGACAAAUUAGAAUGACGCAUCCGAAAGUUAUUUGGGAAAGAAUGAUUAUAAUACAAUUCCACAGGGAAUAGUGGAUGCCAUUCCAUUGCAAGCUGUACCACCAUCAUCAUCAUCCAUAUGCACCUUAUUUCGCAUAUCAAAAAUCAAUACCUACAAAGAAAUUGCCAAAUGCAUUGGUAUCAAGGGAUCCCAAUGAGUCAUUGUUGUUAAUAUUGACAAAAAAAAUGGAUGAAUUGGCUGUAAAUGUGGCCAAGGAUAAAGAAAAAAGGCAUAAACUAACCAAUAUGCAUCCCAAUGUCUCGUGCAGCAAUUGUAAGGGGCAAGGUCAUUUAACAACAGAAUAUCCUUCACCACCCCAAAUGAUUGUAUAAUGUACCUUUUGCGAGGGCAAGCAUAUUACCACCAAUUGUUGGAAUUUAUGGAAGCAACAACAACUCAAUAACCAGAUAAUGAAUCAACCAACUUCGUGGGAUGUCAAUCAAGUACAAACAAAUAAUAGGUUUGGUUGGAAUGGAAAUCAAGCGAAUAAACAAAAUAGGAAUUAUUCUAAUUUUCUCAACUCUGAAUUUCACCAAGAAGGUGUAUCCAAUAUUCAUGGAUUGGCGAUGAACCAACCAGGAUACCAUCAAUAUCUACCCAUGAUGAAGCCAAUGCCAGACUUUAUAGUAACAAUGAGUCAAGCAGGAUCCUUUACUCAUCCGAAAUGGAACAGACCUAGCCGUAAUAUACGAGUAGAGAUACCCAUUAUCCCUGAAUGAAGUGGUAGGAGACCACUUUGUUGCUAUCGUUGAAGACAAAUCAGACAUUAUGUGAGUGAAUGUCCUAAUCCAAGGGCAAGUGAUGACUAUGCUCCAAUAUAUGGAAAUUGUAAGCAGUCUAGUCACACUUAUCAGCAAUGCAAUGCACCCUUUAAUUAUAAUAACCGAGACCAGCAAAUGCAAAUAAGCCAACUGGUAGAGGACAAAGGCCCUGUUCAAUGAAACUCACUAGUACAUCGUAUCGAGGUGGUGAACGCAUUGCUUACCAAAGGCCAACAAAAAGAUAAGAAUUCAAUUCAAAACAAAGAUGAACCAAUUGCAAGAGAAAUUGGUAUGGAGUGACCAAAACAGAUGUGAAACAGAGCGGAUAAGGGCUGAAAUUGAGGCCUUGAACACCGAAGUGACAAGAUUGGCAGAGAAUGUAGUCAAUAUUGGUCAAACAUAAGUAUCGACGUUGCCAGUUUCUAAAAUUCCAGAAGAGAGGAGUCACUUUCAGUGCUAGUUGGAAUUGAGAGAUACCCAGAUCCUGAAAUUGGAAGCUCAAGUCCGUGAACUGGGUGAGUACAAUGAAGACCUUUCAGCUCAGUUGAGGCAGGAACCGAUGGAAGAAUUGGAGGAGGAUGAAGAUUUGCAGUUGGAACCAGAAUCGGUGGAACCAAUAACAGAUACUGCGGCAAUUGAUUAAUUAGAUAGGUCAGAGGGAUCGCAAUUUUUGUAGAGUUUUGUUAGAUAAUUUUUAGAUAGAUAUCAAUUGAGUGUUUGCGAGGACGCUGCACAGUUAGGAGUGGGGCUAUGUAGAAUAAGUAGUUAUUUUCAGAAUAUAGAUACCUAGUGUAUAGUGUAAACAGGGAUAGAUAAUUGCUGAAAAGGUGGUUCAGUAGGUAGAAUGGAUGAAUAGUCAGGAAAAGUAAUUAUCAUCUGUAGUAUAGGAGUUGGUAUCUCAGGGUAGUAUAAGGAGGAUGGGAGAGAGGAAGAAAAUACCAAACUGUGAGAGUCGUAAGCCGAGGGCCAAACUGUGAGAGUCGUGAGCCGGGGUAAGCUUGGUGCUACCUCUUUUCUUUUGUUUGUUAUUUUCUUUGAAUAAGAGGAUUGAAAGUUUUUGGAUAUUGUGAAGUGAAUUAUGGAAAUGUGAUUGGUAUUAUUUGAGAAGAAGAAAGAUUGAAUGCUGAAAUCUGAUUGUAGUUCAGCAUAGAGAAUGAGUCUAUGUUUGUGUGAAACAUUGUAAUGUGAAUGGCAGUUCUGUGUGAAGAAUUUUAGAGAUUGGAACAAGGGUAAUUAUGUACUGAAAGCUGUGAAGGCGCAAUAUUACAGUUGGAGAUUAUGAGGGUGAAUAUAUUGGUGGAAAUAGCAGCUAUUAGUAU
Molecule: long non-coding RNA, 4189 nt
Filed under: Physcomitrium patens
Lineage: Eukaryota; Viridiplantae; Streptophyta; Bryopsida; Funariales; Funariaceae
Description: long non-coding RNA (PPAT_LNC001353)
Source: RNAcentral